This 378-nucleotide ribosomal RNA is filed under the name uncultured organism. RNAcentral's name for it is "partial 16S ribosomal RNA". It matches the Rfam family "Bacterial small subunit ribosomal RNA", at positions 527 to 897 of the family's 1533-position model. The record is from RNAcentral.
GUAGGUGGCAAGCGUUGUCCGGGAAUUAUUGGGGCGUAAAGCGCGCGCAGGCGGGUUCUUUAAGUCUGAUGUGAAAGCCCACGGGCUCAACCGUGGGAGGGUCAUUGGAAACUGGAGAACUUGAGUACAGAAGAGGAAAGCGGAAUUCCACGUGUAGCGGUGAAAUGCGUAGAGAUGUGGAGGAGCACCAGUGGCGAAGGCGGCUUUCUGGUCUGUAACUGACGCUGAGGCGCGAAAGCGUGGGGAGCAAACAGGAUUAGAUACCCUGGUAGUCCACGCCGUAAACGAUGAGUGCUAAGUGUUAGGGGGUUUCCGCCCCUUAGUGCUGCAGCUAACGCAUUAAGCACUCCGCCUGGGGAGUACGGCCGCAAAGGCUGA